GACGAACGCUGGCGGCGUGCUUAACACAUGCAAGUCGAACGAUGAAGCUAGAGCUUGCUCUGGUGGAUUAGUGGCGAACGGGUGAGUAACACGUGAGUAACCUGCCCCGAACUCUGGGAUAACUGCUGGAAACGGUAGCUAAUACCGGAUAUGACCAAUGAAGGCAUCUUCUGUUGGUGGAAAGAAUUUCGGUUCGGGAUGGACUCGCGGCCUAUCAGCUUGUUGGUGAGGUAACGGCUCACCAAGGCGACGACGGGUAGCCGGCCUGAGAGGGUGAUCGGCCACACUGGGACUGAGACACGGCCCAGACUCCUACGGGAGGCAGCAGGGGGGAAUAUUGCACAAUGGGCGCAAGCCUGAUGCAGCAACGCCGCGUGAGGGACGACGGCCUUCGGGUUGUAAACCUCUUUUAGUAGGGAAGAAGCGAAAGUGACGGUACCUGCAGAAGAAGCACCGGCUAACUACGUGCCAGCCGCCGCCGUAA
Molecule: ribosomal RNA, 484 nt
Filed under: uncultured bacterium
Lineage: Bacteria
Description: partial 16S ribosomal RNA
Rfam family: Bacterial small subunit ribosomal RNA
Source: RNAcentral